Molecule: long non-coding RNA, 405 nt
Organism: Zea mays
Lineage: Eukaryota; Viridiplantae; Streptophyta; Magnoliopsida; Poales; Poaceae
Exons: 3
Source: RefSeq, a predicted model, not a curated record
CAGUUGUGUUCAAAUACGGAAGUGGUUUGAUUAUCGUAGCCAUAUUUGUAUUAAAACUGACAUCUGUGAAGGAAAAGUCCCUUGGGCUCCUCACCCAGAAUUUUGUCAAGCUCUUCUUCACCAUGAAGGUUGAGACAAUCUCACUUUGACGAAGGUGCAAGGCUUCUCCUUGGAGACGGACAUGUAGAGAGCAACAUGAGAAGUUAGCGCAUGCAUUCCUUUUGUUUAGUUCCAUGUUUGUGUUAAAUGCCUUUUCUAUCCAAAUAGAACACACAAUGGACACAUGUAAGCAAAUAUAUACUCCAAUCUUUAGAUUUUCAUUGUUAAAACACUCUAUUUGUUUAAUGAUGUUAUUGUCAAUUAAACUAGGAUCAGUGGUCUUCUCUAUAAAGGUAUAUGUUGAUA